UUUAUUUGCUUUGUUACAGAAGAAAUAUCUUUCGAAUUUCUGCAUGCCAUCUUACGAGAUUUAAACUGAUGAUCUAUAAUCCGGAAUUGCCGAAGUCCCGACGAGUCCGGAUUAACGACUUUUGACUGUAGAAGCAAAGCUAUGAUGGACCUUUUAAGCUUGGUGAAUGCUGUACAAAGCUUCAGGGUUGAUGGGAAUUACUGGAGUUCCAACGUCACUGAGUUUCUUUGAGAUCCGCUUCUGAAGCUAGUAGUUUGCUGAGUUCCGUUGCCACUCCUCAGCCAACUUGAUGUUUGAAGGCCAAUAAAGAGAUUUCGUCAACAUUAUGACUCUGAAGUUAAUGGUGUUCUACACAGAGGUAAUCAGAAGUCAUCCAAGUCCACUAUUAUUAAACAAUGGAAUAUGCAUGGUUUUUGGUUCGUCGAGCCAGAGCUUCAGGAAGAUUGGAUAAAAUUGGUGCUGAAAGGACAACGUCAUGCAGAUGUUCCAGUCACCCAAAUAGUUGUGUCAGAGCAACUUGCAAACAUAUUCUGCAAAUGCUAUGUUGAACUGCUUCAAUGAGCUUCAGAAAUGCUAGAAACUGUAUAUCAAUUUUCAAGGCAGCUAUUUCGAAGAGGCAAUAAUUAUAAGUAUGUCAGUUUUUAAACUUUUUUAGCAACAGUUCCAUGACUUCUUGGACAUGGUAUGUCAAUACUACACAGAAUUUUCUUAUCCAUUUUUGUGCAAUUCAUUUAAAGAUAAAUUUGCUUUUAAAGUAUUUUACCUACGAAAAUAUUAAUAAAGAUUUUCAUUUGACUGUACACAAAGUGAAGAAAUGCAUAAAUCACACAUAACUAAUUAUUAAAUACUUCAAAAUUAUUUUUUUAUGAAUGCAAAGUAAGCAUUCAUAUACUUUGAGCACAUGAAUAGG
Molecule: long non-coding RNA, 910 nt
Filed under: Stegodyphus dumicola
Lineage: Eukaryota; Metazoa; Arthropoda; Arachnida; Araneae; Eresidae
Description: uncharacterized LOC118197143, transcript variant X2
Source: RNAcentral